Molecule: long non-coding RNA, 342 nt
Filed under: Lathyrus oleraceus (garden pea)
Lineage: Eukaryota; Viridiplantae; Streptophyta; Magnoliopsida; Fabales; Fabaceae
Description: Pisum sativum (pea) long non-coding RNA (PSAT_LNC034123)
Source: RNAcentral
CCUUAUUGGAUAAAAGAAAAGUCGGUGGCGACUCUUGCUAACCGCGACAUUGCGAUUAAAACCACAAAAAAGUCCAGUUCACCGUAUGACAGUUAUCAAGAAAUGAGAAGAUUGAUAGUGUUAUUAGUGUUCUUGUUUUGCUAAAUUUUGUAUAUUGUUAUCAAGAAAUGAGAAGAUUGAUAGUGUUACUAAUGUUCUUGUUUUUUUUAAAUUUUGUAUAUUGUUAUUAAGAAAUGAGACUAUUGAUAGUGUUAUUAGUGUUAUUGUUUUGCUAUAUUUUGUAUAUUGUUAUCAAGAAAUGAGAGGAUUGAUAGUUUUAUUAGUGUUCUUGUUUUGCUAAAN